AUCCCAUGAUGAAGAAACUUGCGAAGGAAUUCCUUGAAUCUUUCCCAUGCCUCGUAUAAGGACUCGUCAUCCAAUUGUUGAAAAGUAGUUAUAUCAUUUCGCAACUU
This is a small nucleolar RNA of Gossypium raimondii (Peruvian cotton), 107 nucleotides long. It matches the Rfam family "Plant small nucleolar RNA R71". From Rfam's summary of the family: R71 is a member of the C/D box family of snoRNAs containing the C (UGAUGA) and D (CUGA) box motifs. Multiple nearly identical copies of this snoRNA have been identified in Arabidopsis, and it is thought to function as a 2'-O-ribose methylation guide for 18S ribosomal RNA. The record is from Rfam. Lineage: Eukaryota; Viridiplantae; Streptophyta; Magnoliopsida; Malvales; Malvaceae.